Molecule: ribosomal RNA, 429 nt
Rfam family: Bacterial small subunit ribosomal RNA
ACGGAAGGCAGCAGUCGGGAAUAUUGCGCAAUGGAGGAAACUCUGACGCAGUGACGCCGCGUAUAGGAUGAAGGUUUUCGGAUUGUAAACUAUUGUCGUUAGGGAAGAUACAAGACAGUACCUAAGGAGGAAGCUCCGGCUAACUACGUGCCAGCAGCCGCGGUAAUACGUAGGGAGCAAGCGUUAUCCGGAUUUAUUGGGUGUAAAGGGUGCGUAGACGGGAAGACAAGUUAGUUGUGAAAUCCCUCGGCUUAACUGAGGAACUGCAACUAAAACUAUCUUUCUUGAGUGCGGGAGAGGAAAGUGGAAUUCCUAGUGUAGCGGUGAAAUGCGUAGAUAUUAGGAGGAACACCAGUGGAGAAGGCGACUUUCUGGACCGUAACUGACGUUGAGGCACGAAAGUGUGGGGAGCAAACAGGAUUAGAUACC